CGAGCUUUCCCUAUUAGUUGGGGUAUUCAUUUACAUUGAAUCUUUUGCCGUGCAAUUCGGUGUUGUUCGA
Molecule: transfer RNA, 70 nt
Filed under: Paraneotermes simplicicornis
Lineage: Eukaryota; Metazoa; Arthropoda; Insecta; Blattodea; Kalotermitidae
Description: tRNA-Val
Source: RNAcentral